CAGUCGAGCGGAAAGGCUCCCUUCGGGGGGUACUCGAGCGGCGAACGGGUGAGUAACACGUGAGUGAUCUGCCCUCCACUUCGGGAUAACUGUCUGAAAGGGUGGCUAAUACCGGAUAUUCCUGUGCUGCUGCAUGGUGGUGUGGGGAAAGGGUUUUCUGGUGGGGGAUGUGCUCGCGGCCUAUCAGCUUGUUGGUGGGGUAAUGGCCUACCAAGGCUUUGACGGGUAGCCGGCCUGAGAGGGUGACCGGUCACACUGGGACUGAGACACGGCCCAGACUCCUACGGGAGGCAGCAGUGGGGAAUAUUGGACAAUGGGCGGAAGCCUGAUCCAGCAACGCCGCGUGAGGGAUGACGGCCUUCGGGUUGUAAACCUCUUUCAGCACAGACGAAGCUGCCGCUACGUGUGGUGGUGGUGACGGUAUGUGCAGAAGAAGCACCGGCCAACUACGUGCCAGCAGCCGCGGUAAUACGUAGGGUGCGAGCGUUGUCCGGAAUUAUUGGGCGUAAAGGGCUCGUAGGCGGUUUGUCGCGUCGGGAGUGAAAUCCACUGGCUUAACUGGUGGCUUGCUUUCGAUACGGGCAGACUGGAGGUAUGCAGGGGAGAACGGAAUUCCUGGUGUAGCGGUGAAAUGCGCAGAUAUCAGGAGGAACACCGGUGGCGAAGGCGGUUCUCUGGGCAUGUCCUGACGCUGAAGAGCGAAAGUGUGGGGAGCGAACAGGAUUAGAUACCCUGGUAGUCCACACCGUAAACGUUGGGCGCUAGGUGUGGGAUCCAUUCCACGGGUUCC
Molecule: ribosomal RNA, 790 nt
Filed under: uncultured Nocardioidaceae bacterium
Lineage: Bacteria; Bacillati; Actinomycetota; Actinomycetes; Propionibacteriales; Nocardioidaceae
Description: bacterial SSU rRNA
Rfam family: Bacterial small subunit ribosomal RNA
Source: RNAcentral